GACGAACGUUGGCGGCGUGCUUAAUACAUGCAAGUCAACUGAAGCAGUGGUAGCAAUAUCGCUGUGGAGGUGGCGCACGGGUGAGUAACACGUAGGUAAUCUGCCUUCAGGUCUGGCAUAACUCCGGGAAACCGGGGCUAAUAGCAGAUGAUGCAGCGGCUCGACAUCGAGACAGUUGUUAAAGCUAUGGCGCCUGAAGAUGAGCCUGCGUCUGAUUAGCUAGUUGGCGGGGUAAAGGCCCACCAAGGCAACGAUCAGUAGCUGGUCUGAGAGGAUGAUCAGCCACAGUGGAACGGAGAAACGGUCCAGACGACGACGGGAGGCAGCAGUAAGGAAUAUUGCUCAAUGGGAGAAAUACUGAAGCAGCAACGGCGCGUGAGGGACGAAGGGCUUUUGAUUGUAAACCUCUGUAGUGAGAGAAAAAAAUCCCAAUCUUUGGGACAUGAUGGUAUCUCAAAAGUAAGCCCCGGCUAACUACGUG
RNAcentral lists this ribosomal RNA (481 nucleotides) under uncultured bacterium. RNAcentral describes it as "partial 16S ribosomal RNA". It matches the Rfam family "Bacterial small subunit ribosomal RNA", at positions 28 to 507 of the family's 1533-position model. The record is from RNAcentral.